UCCAGGCUGGUCUCUAACUCCAUAUGUAGCUGAGAAUGACCGAGCUUUGGAUAUGCCUGCCUCUACCCUCCUGGGUGCUGGGAUGACACGUGUGUACCACCUGUCCAGUUUUAUUUAGAACCCAGGGCUUCCCUCAUAUCUGCACAGCAGCUUUUUACCGACGGAGUCACUCCCAGUCUGCAAGAGGAACUUAACAAGAACCCACUUGUUCUGGGUACUGCCUGUUGGAUGAGAUAAAUGGACUUAAAGUGGAUCACAGGUCAGUGGGAGAGACGAACCGUAACCCAAGAAACAGAUCUGGAAAAGGAUAGGCACGGAGAAGAAGGCUUUAACAGGAAGAAGACAAGGUGGAGUGAACCGGGUUGGGCCAAGAAAGCUGUUGCUUCAGACUACUGAAAGGUCAGGAAAGGACAUUUGAGCUGAGACCUGAAGGCUGUCAAGAAGCUAAACUUUCUGGGAAAGGUCAGCAGGGAGCAAGACUUGGUGGGACAGAGCCCAGGAGGCAAGACAGGCCAGAGGCUGUAGCAGGAUUUUCCCUGUCCAAUCACAUAAGUGCAGAGAAGGUCUGUGAUUGGACAGGGAAAAGGAGGCGGAGCUAGGAAUUGGGGAGCCAGGGAGAGUCAGAGGAGGGCAGAGAAGAACCAAGACGGCACAGGUAUACCUGUGUGGCAUCUACCAGCCACAAGUAGCUAUGAAUAGUAAGGUUAGAGAUGUGCAGUCCCAUGCAGCCAUGCAAAAAGGGUGUGGUGUGUGUGCCGGUAACCCUAGCCCUGGGCACGGCUAGUCUAUCAGUCUGCAAAGGUGAGCUCCGGCUUCACUGAGAUAUGGUGAGAUAGAUGGCUCAGUGGCUAAGGGCCUGGCAUCCUGAGUCCUAUUGCCAGGUCCCCCAGGGUGGAAGGAGAGAGCCAACUCUACAAACUGUCCCUGGCCUCCGUAAGUACGCUGUUGUCCCUGUGCGCACGUACGCCACAAACACACACACACCAGAUAAAUGUAGUAAGAGUUUAUUUUUUAAGACUGGAGCUAGAGAGAGGAAGAACCUGGAAUGUUAGAAUCCUGUUACUGCUCACACUGCAAUGCCUGCAGCCCUUCUCUCCUCUGAGGCGUCCACAACGGGAGGGGCAGGCUAGACACCCCACUUAAUAAGAGAGCUACAAGGAGAGACUCUGCCAUAUGGGCCUGAAACCACUUUCCACGUCUCUGUCUGUGGGCUGGGGCCUCCUCUGAGCCCACUAUCUCACAUCGGCUUGGCUGAGAAAGGAGUUUCCUUGGGAUUCACUGGCUUUUCAAUGAGCUCCAGGCUCUGUAGGAGAUGCUGAGACCCUGUCUCAAAAAAUAAGGUGGAAAUAUAUUGAGAAAGAAACACAACAUCGACCUUGGACACCUACACACAGAAACACACACACACACACACACACACACACACACACAUAUGCACGCACACACACACACACACACACACACACACACACACACACACGCACAGAGAGAUGCCUUUUUAAAAAAUUUGCCAAUCAUAGUUGCUAUCCUCGGUGUGACCACUAGAGAGCAGGACUGUCCCAUGCCUUGUGCUCUUGCAAAGAGUGAAAGGGGGGAAGUGGAUGUGGAAAUCCCAAAGACUUCACAGGGUCGAGACGUGAGGGUUAGGUCACUUUCACUUGCGCUUUUGGUAAAGGCUUCACAGAAUAAAAAUGUAUGCCGGUAGUGGGAAGGGGCUAAACCGCCGGAUCUCUGAACCAUCGUAUCUAUCCCCUCCGCUCAACUGCUUCUGUCUUUAGGCUUUUAUUUCUAUUAUCUGGACACUCUGCUAAGUUCCAAUCAUUGACUGUGACAUGGGCCAGGAAAACAUGGCAAUUGAAGAGGACACACAAAAAAGAAAGAAACUGCUCACCCCGAGACUUCAUGAUGAAGAUUUUAAAAUGUGGACAUAAUGGAUACAGUCAAAAAUUACCUACAGAGGGAAAAAAAGUGUGUUUUCAUAACGAUAUUUCAAACUAAGAUGUUAAAAAACAAAUUUAAAAACAAAAUGUCGGUGCAUGGCCGUGCACCCUGCAAUCACAGCCCGCAGAGGCAGAGGCAGAGGCAGAGGCAGAGGCAGAGGCAGAGGCAGAGGCAGAGGCAGAGGCAGAGGCAGAGGCAGAGGCAGAGGCAGAGGCAGAGGCAGGCAAUCUUCCCGAGUUUGAGGGCAGCGCGAUCCUCAUAGCAAGUUCUAAGCCAGCCAGGGCUACAGAAGGAGUACCCGUGUCAAAACCAAAUUGAAAAGAAUGAGGAACAAGGAAACGGUGCUUACUUAGGGUCAAAAUGUCUAUAAUCUUGAAUUUUACCAUAUCAGCCUCCUCUCAGCCCUAAAUCUGAAUAUACUUCAUAAAACUCUUACAGCUUUAUUUACAAAUGGAAAUUUAUUAAGUAAACCAGAUAAUAUAUUGCACGUACUUUUAAAGUGUUAUUUAAAAUUUAAGCGUUCCUUAAUCUUUAAACCAUAUUAUAAAUCAUAACCUUUGAGAAAUAUAACUUAGAAAGCCACAAGAUCAUUUAUAUAUGUAUAGACAUAUACACAUGCAUUUACAUAUAUAUGCAUAUAUGCACUGAUAUAUCUAUAUGUAUUGAAGACACAUCUAAAUGAGACACCCCGUAGAUGCCCACACCUGUGUCUUGGGAUAGUGUAAUGUCUUUUUCCUAUAUAACUUUCUGCCAGGUGGUGGUGUAUGCUUUUUAACCCAGCACUCAGAAGGCAGAGGCGGGUGAUUUCUAGGUCAGCUUACACUGAAAAGUGAAUUCUAGGACAGCAGAACUGCUACACAGAGAAACACUGUCUCCAAAAACAUAAUAAAAAAAUGAAAACAAAACCAAACAACAAUGGAAUACUAAAAACCACUGUGGGCUGGGGAGACAGCGCAGUGGGUAACAGUGCCUGCCAUGGCAACCUGAGGACCUGGGGGAGAAGAAGUUGCCUCAACUUGUCUUCUCACCUCCACAUUCAACACGCACCUUCCUGCAUAAAGUGAAUACACUGUAACAAAAACUGAAACAGCUCCCUGCAAACCGCUGGGCUGGAGAGAUGGCACAGUGGGGGAGAUUGGGCCGAGGUCAGCAGAAAGCAAUGUUGGCAAAGAGAACACAGGGUACUUCAGGCACUGAUAACCACGGUCCUUCAAGGGAGAAAGCCAGAUUCUCAGGAACUUAACCCUUAAGCCUUUCCAGGCCAGGGGCCCCAGCCCCAGCGUGACCUUGCCUAGACUGCCUCCAUAAGAACACAGGACUUUACCCUUUCAUGAAGGCCCCUGAGAAAGCCUUGGGUCAGCUUGACUUUCAGCACAGCGGCACUGCCCACAACUGGGCCCUCCAAUAUCAGUCAUCAAUCAACAAAACACAUCCUAGGCUAGCCCACAGGCCAAACUGUGGGGAUAUCUUCUCAGUUGAUGUUCCGUCUUCUCAAGUGACUCUUGCUCUUGUUCAAGUUGCCAUAAAAUUAGCUAGCACAGAGACCUUCCCAGGCAAAAAUGUAUUGGUGGCACAUGUCUUCAGUCCUAGCACUUGGGAAUGCCACACCGACCCCAGUAAAAUCUGCGUGACAAGUUCCACAGACUGAGGCAUUAGACUUCAAAAGAAGGAGGGUUCCUGGAACAGGUUGUGGAACUCUCAGCCAGAGCAAACAUAUUGAGCCGUAGUUCUCGUGGCAAUUUUUCUGUUUUGUUCUCUUUCAUUCCUUUUCUUAGUUACAGGUUCCUGGUAGCUUAGAACAUGAUCUUAAGCGAGAAUAAUGGGUACGAAACCAUCCCUUGAGAUGGGGUCACUAACAUGACCUUGUCUCCAGGGAAACCAACGCUUUACUUUUCAACUCAUUUACAAAAUUAUUGUGAUAGUUAAAAACUUUCCCAGCAAUAAAAUUUCAUAUGGCUACACAUGUGUCAUUGGAGGUGGGUUUUGGUAUAUGGUAAAGAAAGUCUUAAUUAGAAAGAAUUAAAGGAGUUUAAAUUUAUGCUUUGAAGAUUUAUAAAAAAAUCAGACAUUAGAUCUUAAACAAUAAUUAAUCAUAGGGGCUGGAAAGUUAGCUCAGUGGUUAAGAGCACUGACCAUAAAGAUUUAUUAACCUGCUCUUGGGAAUAUGCCACUAGCCUUGGAUGACCACCCUAUUGAAUAUAUACUUUUAGGACUGUUAUAUUUUGAUGGUGAUGUUACAUGUUCUGUUUGUGAUUCACUAAACAUGUAGUUUUAGAGUCGUAAUGCGCAGAUAAUUUUUGUAUUUUACUGUGCCAAAUGAUUCUUGUUCGUAUUUGUGAUUGUUUUGCUGGAUAUGUUUCUAAGAGUUGUCAUGUUUGGUUUAAUGUAUAAAAUCCCCUGCUUGAGAGCUGCAAAAAUACAUUCAGAUUCAAAAUGA
Molecule: long non-coding RNA, 4378 nt
Organism: Apodemus sylvaticus (European woodmouse)
Lineage: Eukaryota; Metazoa; Chordata; Mammalia; Rodentia; Muridae
Exons: 2
Source: RefSeq, a predicted model, not a curated record